Planococcus citri (citrus mealybug) is the source of this 529-nucleotide long non-coding RNA. RefSeq lists it as uncharacterized. The record is from RefSeq and is a predicted model, not a curated record. NCBI's taxonomy places the organism in Eukaryota, Metazoa, Arthropoda, Insecta, Hemiptera, Pseudococcidae. The transcript has 2 exons.
AGAUUUGAAAACGAUUGUUCCUUUUAGUUUGUAGCACUAUAGUACUUACGACGUGUUUUAAUCAACCAGCUAAUUAGUUCUCAAAAACAACAGAACGAUGUUUAUAUUCGCAGUUUCGAUUUUCAUACUAACAAUUGCCAUUUUCUACACCGAAGCUCAGACCUGGGAUAAAGUAUGUCGAUUCGCGCAUAGUAAAUGUGAGUUCGAUGAUUUAUGUAAUAAUAGAAAUGCGAAGACAGUUAGUGAGAUGGUUGAGCAUUCGAGAGCAAGAGUUAAUUAUUAUCUUUUACAGAAGACCAUACUGAGCAUACAAAUACUUGCGAAUGCUUUAAUAAUGAUAUUCCAGGAGGUUAAUGCAGAAAAUCGCUUGUAAGUAACGAUGAAACAUUCAAAAUUAGAAGAAAACGCGGUGAUUAAUAACGCAUUGCACAGGAAUUCGAUCGUUUCAUUGAUUCAACAUUCAAUUUGAAGAUUUUUGAAGAAUUAGAUACUGUUGUAACAAGAAGUCAAUAAAAUCGGAGACUAACAA